GUGAGGAAUAUUGCGCAAUGGAGACAACUCUGACGCAGCCAUGCCGCGUGCAGGAAGAAGGCGCUACGCGUUGUAAACUGCUUUUAACCGGGAAGAAACCCCAGGACGUGUCCUGGGUUGACGGUACCGGAGGAAUAAGCACCGGCUAACUUCGUGUCAGCAGCCGCGGUAAUACGAAGGGUGCAAGCGUUAUCCGGAUUCAUUGGGAUUAAAGGGUGCGUAGGCGGAGCGUUAAGUCAGUGGUGAAAUCCUGCAGCUUAACUGUAGACGUGCCAUUGAUACUGGCGCUCUUGAGUGCGCUUGAAGUGGGCGGAAUGUGCCGUGUAGCGGUGAAAUGCUUAGAUAUGGCACAGAACACCAAUUGCGAAGGCAGCUCACUAAGGCGAUACUGACGCUGAGGCACGAAAGCGUGGGGAUCGAACAGGAUUAGAAACCCUUGUAGUCC
RNAcentral lists this ribosomal RNA (445 nucleotides) under uncultured bacterium. RNAcentral's name for it is "partial 16S ribosomal RNA". It matches the Rfam family "Bacterial small subunit ribosomal RNA", at positions 354 to 796 of the family's 1533-position model. The record is from RNAcentral.